This 471-nucleotide long non-coding RNA is filed under the name Ananas comosus (pineapple). RNAcentral's name for it is "long non-coding RNA (ACOM_LNC003482)". The record is from RNAcentral. Lineage: Eukaryota; Viridiplantae; Streptophyta; Magnoliopsida; Poales; Bromeliaceae.
UAUAUAUAUAUAUAUAUAGAGAGAGAGAGAGAACUAGGUUGGAAUACUAUCAACAGUAUCAAACUAUUGGUGAUAUUAGUUUUUUAGUAUCUCUCAAAAAAAAUAAUAUUAGUUUUUAGUCCUUGAAAUGAGAAAUGUACAGUUAGGAUGAUGUGAGCCUUUUAGGGUUGAGUGGGUGGUUGGUUGAAUAGUAUAAUCGAAUCGAUGAAAAAUGAUAAAAAAGAUAAAUCUAUCGACAGAGAACUUGAUAGCACCAAAUGCUUUGUACUAUCGAUAGUAUCCCAGUCGGACUAUAUAUAUAUAUAUAUAUAUAUAUAUAUAUAUUGAAGGAUAAGAAAUUCUUCACUUAAAAUUUUAGAUAAUUUUAUUUUUGUUAAAUAUUUUGUAUAUAUCUAAGUUAUGGGUAACAUACUAAUAAUAUAUAACUAAGCUGCGCAUGUAUCAAGACAUUCAUUUAAAGUUUCAGAUUAU